Molecule: long non-coding RNA, 4698 nt
Filed under: Medicago truncatula (barrel medic)
Lineage: Eukaryota; Viridiplantae; Streptophyta; Magnoliopsida; Fabales; Fabaceae
Description: long non-coding RNA (MTRU_LNC005908)
Source: RNAcentral
AAAAAAUGAUUUAAUCAAAAUUUAGUAUAUUUGAUCUUAAUUAAAUUUUAAAAUAAAGACAAAGAGUAGCUUCUUUAUUUUAUAUUGGCAUAAAAUCUUAGUGGUCCUACAUCAAAUUAUUCUUUAUUUUAUAUUGGCAUAAAAUCUAGUGCACAAAUAAGAGACCAAAAACACCCAAAAAAAUAUAUAUACCUUGCACAUGUUUGGAGGGCAAACAUUGUUGCAACCAUGUGAAGCCUUAUUGAAAUCAUGGUAAGGUGAAAUUCUAACUCUUCCUUCUUGAUUAACAUAACCAGGAUUAGAGUUAAUCUCUGAGAAGCAUUCACUAAUUCCCAAAUGCUUCAAAAUAGUUUCAAUGUAAAACAUAUUAGCAUCACUAACAAUCCUCAAAUCACACCCUAAAGCAUGAGCUGAUUUAAUUGCAGGUAUUAUUCUGUGAUGAAUUGGAAUCCUUUGAAGAACCUUUUCAAUCUCUUCAAUGGUUACACCAUUUGAAUGAAAUUCCAUCAUCAUUUUGUCCUAUAAUUUCAAAACCAAAACAAGAAAGAAUAAAGUUAAUAAUAUAUUUAUGCAAAUUAACACCAUGCAGAAUUUCUAAUGAAUGAAAAUAGAACACAUGAAUAUGAAGAGAAUAAAAAACAUACCAUGACGGAAUUCCAAGGCAUUGUGGGAAGGAGCUGAUUGAACAAAUCGGUGAAACCCAAUUCAUCAAUCAACCAAUUAUCACUAUCACAAUCAAUGAUGGUUUUGUCAAAGUCAAAAAUAAUAACAAUAUUAUUAGACAUUUUUUUCUUUGAGAUGUGAGAAAGUGAAUGUGAAAAAUUUCAAUGACCUGAAAAAAAUCUCUCACUGCUCUCAAAGUUGGUUCUUUCUUGGUUUGGAGUUGAUAUAGUGAGAGAGAAAGGUAUUUAUAGGGAAAUUGAAAAAGCCAAAACGGAAAACAAGUAAUUAAUUUGGCAAAUUCUAUGGUUUGAGUGUACCGGUACACCAUACAUUAAAUUAAUAAUUAAAUUGAUUGUUUUUUGAAGAAAAAAUAAUUAUUUUCUAUCAUUGGCAAUUAUAAUAAUUAAAUCUUAUUUACCAAAAGCGUCGAUGAAAUAAAAUUUACUUUUUUUGAAUUUUUAUUGCUCAUAAUGAAGAAUUUUUAUGAGAAAAUGUUAAAAAUUUAAUAUAAUUCAUAUAAACAAUGAAAUGAUGUUUUUUUUUCUCAUGAGAUGGUGUUUUCUAAAAUAUAAAUAAUGAUAAAUAACAACUUAUUUCAAAAAAUAAUCAUUAAUUUAUAAAUUUAUGAAGCAGAGUCUCGGUACACCUCAAUUUAUGAGGUGUACCGUAGAAGCUCCCAAUUAAUUUUGUUUUAAAUGAUAAAAAGAAUAUUUUAUUUGAGAGGAAUAUUACGUAACAUACCAUAACUUAUAAUCCUCGUCGUAUUUUAAAAUAAAUUAAAUAUCCACCGUUGGAUCAGUUUGAAUUUAGGUUAUUUAGAAGAUCGGAGUGUGUGGGAUGGUUAGGGCAUGAGAAGAAUAAGGAGGAUUGAUGACGAGGAUUAUGAGUGUGAAAUGCACAUCUCCACCACUAAAUGCAUUUGCAGCCCAUAAGCAUAUUCUUGGUAUAGUUCCAUUCCAUAUGCUUCUAAAAUUGGUUUAUUUUAAUUUUAAUCAAUUUAUUUAUUUACCAAUCUUUUUUUAUUUUCUGUAUAUAUAUAAAACUAAUUUUGAUUUUGUUCUAAUUCCUUAACUUAACUUAGAAUAAUGAGAAAACCAAUCCAAAAUCUCAUAUCCCUUAAAAUAUAAUAGUAUAUAUACCUAUCUUUAUUUUUUUCAUGGACUUAUCAUUACUAUAUUUACAAUACUAGUUUAGUAUUAGUAUUUUAAAAAAAAUAUUAAAUAUAUAUUAAAAUAUAGAUUUAACACUUCAUAACCCUAUAUUUCCUCCAAAAUCCUCCAAAGACAGGUAUAUAUCAAAAUAAAUAAAUUGAAAAUCAACAUGAUACAUGACCACAUAUUAUCAUGUUAUUCUUUUAGUUUUUUUUUUUUUUUAAUAUAAAGUAUAUAUAUGAAAAUAUAGACUUAAUAGUAACACCUUUAAAAUCCUAUAUCCUCUAAAAACAAAGUCGCUAUUUGGUUCUAUGGUUCAUGUAGGCCGAGAGGGCAAUCGUGCCGGCCACCUCUUGCUCUCAGUGAACCAACCACCUUGCAUUGUAUGGUUGGGCUAAUCCAUUUUAAUUUUCUUUUUCUUAUUUUUUCAAUAAUAAAGUAUGUGAACGAGAUGGACUAGUGGACAAUUGCACCGUAAUACCCUCCUUUUAUCGAUUCCAAAAGAUGGUCAUAUUACAAGCAAGCUAAUUAAGUGAAGCAACAAAUUCGACAUAUAGUUUUAUUUCAUUAAAUGACUUCUUCUUAUAGCCAUAUAUAAUUCAAGGGAGGAGGGUAUCAAGCAUCAAUCCAUGGCUGUCACACCAGUCAAUGCUCACAUCGAUCCUUCCACACAUAUUGUUGCUCAAUUACAAUUUUUUGUAAUCCUCUCACAGUAUAUUUAUGCAUUAUCGUAUCGUUUUCUGUUUAUACUUCUCUUCUAACAAAAUCAUAACGACUUCAAGUAAAAUGUCUUCAUCCACUAAAAACACGAAUGUUUCAUUUCUGUCACUAUCCGAAUUAUUGUGUGCAAGUAUGAGUUAUAUGUUCUACAUUGAAUAAAAAAGGAGAGGUUGAACACUUUAUAAAUGGGAAGACCCAUAAAAUCAUUGCCUUAAGAUUUUGAGUAAGAGUGUGAUGUCUCUAUCGCUUGUGUUGUUGCUCUGAUUUGGACGUGGGUGGCCCCUGACUCCCCUCGUGACCCAACAAAAUGCAUAUAACUAUUAUGCAUGCACUAUUUUCAUAAUGGGAGAAGAAAUUUAAUUGGUUGAGUCACAUUUCGUGAAUUCAUGAAUCAUUUGAAAAGCUAUUUUUCGCGAUAAAUAACACCACUCAUUUAUAAAAAAACUCAUUUUAAAUUGUACUGGUAUCAUACAAUCUUACUUGUUUUCAUUUUCUAUGUCUGUGAGUGUAGUUAAUUAUACAAGUCACCUUUCAACUAAUCCAAUACCAUGAAAAUUUGGGUCCUUUGACUCCUAUAUAAUGAGUUCGAAAUUUACAUCGUAUCAACGUGGAUUUUGAAAUAGACUCUAAGAAUAUUGUGUUCAAAUUUCAUAUCAAAAUAUAAGAUAAUUCGAAGCGUGGUGCUAUUAUUUAAGAUUGUCAAAGACUUCAUAGUUUGAUUUUUAACAAACUUUUGCGUUGAUAUACUAAAAGACAAGUUAAUGAAGUUGCCCACAAGUUAAUAAAGACGAUCACAUCUCUAAUUAGUUUUCACAUUUUCACUUACAUACAACUUGUAUUAAUAUUAUUCUUAAUGAAAUGAUUUAAGGUUGUUGUAGUAAAAAAAAAUACUACAAAUAUUUUUAGAAUAAAUUUAAAACUAGUUUUGAUACAAAUAUUUUUUACACAUCAAUACACUAGUAAAAUAAUUAACCAGCACAAUCAAGGAAAGUUUAGACCAAUUCUAGUACAAGAAAAGGUUUAUUAAAAGUUAAUCAAAGGACAAAAGAAAGACCCAUUACAUUUGCAAUGAUAGAAAAUUAGUAAGCUUAGAAUCUAUGGCCUAACUGAGACAGCUUUAGGCAAAGAUACAAGUACUGGACUAGAUAGAGUUUGUAGCUUGCAAUCUGAUGAAAUAAAUUGAACAUGUUCCUCCAUCAUAAUUUUGUUAAUCAAAUUCAUCAAAACUUGUUCCAAUUCUUCUCCAUCACUCCAACCAUGAAUUUCAGCUUUGACAAGUGAAGGAUCUUUGCAUAUCAAAUCCCACACUGGAAAAUUCUUCCUUGGCAUCACAAAGUCUCUUUCUCUAAGCCUCAAACUAGGGCAAUAGUCCCCUGCACCAUCACCAAGGUAGAUAAACCUCUUGCUAUCCUCUUCAAAAAUUGAAUUUUGAAUUUUAUCAAUGAUUAAACCCUGAAAUAAUGAUUUUAAAAAAAAGAUUAGUAUAUUUUAUCAUAAUUAAAUUUUAAAAUAAAGACAGAGUAACUUCUUUAUUAAUUUAAACUAGUGGUCCUACAUCAAAUUAUUCUUUAUUUUAUAUUGGCAUAAAAUCUAGUGCACAAAUAAGAGACCAAAAACACCCAAAAAAAUAUAUAUACCUUGCACAUGUUUGGAGGGCAAACAUUGUUGCAACCAUGUGAAGCCUUAUUGAAAUCAUGGUAAGGUGAAAUUCUAACUCUUCCUUCUUGAUUAACAUAACCAGGAUUAGUGUUAAUCUCAGUGAAGUAUUCACUUAUUCCUAAAUGCUUCAAAAUAGUUUCAAUGUAAAACAUAUUAGCAUCACUAACAAUCCUCAAAUCACACCCUAAAGCAUGAGCUGAUUUAAUUGCAGGUAUUAUUCUGUGAUGAAUUGGAAUCCUUUGAAGAACCUUUUCAAUCUCUUCAAUGGUUAUUCCAUUUGAAUGAAACUCCAUCAUCAUUUUGUCCUACAAUUCCAAAACCAAAAAGUUAAUCACAUAUAUUAGAGACAAUGCAGAAUUUCAAAUGAAUGAAAAACAGAGUAUUUUACAAAACAGAGCACAUGAAAGGAAUAAAAAGCAUACCAUAACAGAAUUCCAAGGCAUUGUAGGAAGGAGUUGAUUGAACAAAUCAGUGAAACCCAAUUCAUCAAUCAACCAAUUAUCAC